UACGGAAGGCAGCAGUGGGGAAUAUUGCACAAUGGGCGCAAGCCUGAUGCAGCCAUGCCGCGUGUAUGAAGAAGGCCUUCGGGUUGUAAAGUACUUUCAGUCGUGAGGAAGGUGUUAAGGUUAAUAACCUUAGCAAUUGACGUUAGCGACAGAAGAAGCACCGGCUAACUCCGUGCCAGCAGCCGCGGUAAUACGGAGGGUGCGAGCGUUAAUCGGAAUUACUGGGCGUAAAGGGCACGCAGGCGGUUAAUUAAGUUGGAUGUGAAAUCCCCGGGCUUAACCUGGGAAUGGCAUUCAAGACUGGUUAGCUAGAGUCUUGUAGAGGGGGUAGAAUUCCAUGUGUAGCGGUGAAAUGCGUAGAGAUGUGGAGGAAUACCGGGUGGCGAAGGCGGCCCCCUGGGACAAAGACUGACGCUCAUGUGCGAAAGCGUGGGGAGCAAACAGGAUUAGAUACC
RNAcentral lists this ribosomal RNA (455 nucleotides) under uncultured bacterium. RNAcentral describes it as "bacterial SSU rRNA". It matches the Rfam family "Bacterial small subunit ribosomal RNA", at positions 340 to 786 of the family's 1533-position model. The record is from RNAcentral.